RNAcentral lists this microRNA precursor (104 nucleotides) under Canis lupus familiaris (dog). Its description in RNAcentral is "mir-8834 microRNA precursor family". It matches the Rfam family "mir-8834 microRNA precursor family". Lineage: Eukaryota; Metazoa; Chordata; Mammalia; Carnivora; Canidae. RNAcentral also lists the same sequence under 1 other name. The record is from Rfam by way of RNAcentral.
AGGAGCAACAACAGUGGCGGCUGCCAGCUCUCGAUCCCUGGAUUCAGCUUCCGCAGUGACUACAGAACUCUCAGUCUGCAGGGGCCUGUGUGCUCCGGGGGCGG